Molecule: ribosomal RNA, 427 nt
Filed under: uncultured bacterium
Lineage: Bacteria
Description: partial 16S ribosomal RNA
Rfam family: Bacterial small subunit ribosomal RNA
Source: RNAcentral
UGGGGAAUAUUGCACAAUGGGCGCAAGCCUGAUGCAGCCAUGCCGCGUGUAUGAAGAAGGCCUUCGGGUUGUAAAGUACUUUCAGCGGGGAGGAAGGCGAUAAGGUUAAUAACCUUGUCGAUUGACGUUACCCGCAGAAGAAGCACCGGCUAACUCCGUGCCAGCAGCCGCGGUAAUACGGAGGGUGCAAGCGUUAAUCGGAAUUACUGGGCGUAAAGCGCACGCAGGCGGUCUGUCAAGUCGGAUGUGAAAUCCCCGGGCUCAACCUGGGAACUGCAUUCGAAACUGGCAGGCUAGAGUCUUGUAGAGGUGGGUAGAAUUCCAGGUGUAGCGGUGAAAUGCGUAGAGAUCUGGAGGAAUACCGGUGGCGAAGGCGGCCCCCUGGACAAAGACUGACGCUCAGGUGCGAAAGCGUGGGGAGCAAACA